UCGAGACAAUUAAUCCUAAGCAAUUAACCAAGUUGUCCGGCAUGUCAUUGGUCCCUCGACGCUUCGUCCGAUUCUUCGGCGCAUCGUCCUUUCCUGCAGCCUAUUGUCCAAUCGGCCAGUUGACUCCGCAACUCCGAUAUCCUUGGCACAAUACCCGCUCUUCUUGGCCCGAUGCCCGAGUCCACGACCCGAAGCCUUCUGUCGAUACGUCAACCGAUCCACCGGCCCGACGUCCAAUCUUCUGACA
This 247-nucleotide long non-coding RNA is filed under the name Musa acuminata (dwarf banana). Its description in RNAcentral is "long non-coding RNA (MACU_LNC011427)". The record is from RNAcentral. Lineage: Eukaryota; Viridiplantae; Streptophyta; Magnoliopsida; Zingiberales; Musaceae.